UAUUAUUAUUAUUAUUAUUUACUUCAUAGUUACCUUAGGGCAUGUGAAAUCAUUGUAGAUGUUUUUGUUGUGUAAUUGUCAUGUAAUGUGACUGAAUGAGAGUUGAAUGGGCAUUCUGAUUUAACCAGUAAAAAACUUCCUCCAGGAUACGGAUAUACACAAACUCAAGGAGGGGGUUGUAAAGUAAAACGAAAUUCAAAGACAUUACCAAUACAUUGUCAUUUAAAAGACCUCCACCACCCCAAGAUGGCACCUUUCCUGCAGAGUCAAAUAUAUCAAGUCAAAACAAUUAAAAUAUCAAAGUAUUUGAAACGUUGCUAAUCAAAUUCCACUCCUGUUGCCCAUUGAUUGUAUAAUCUUUCUUAUUGUCCUUCCUCCUAUCUCACCAUAAUCUUAAUCAAUUAAAUUAAGAAGAGAGAGAAACCUCAAAAGUGAUGAUUCAGAAAAGUAAAGGGAAAAGUUAAUAAAGUCAACGUGAUUUAGAGAUUAGUGAAUGUAAAGGAUUACCAAAGGGCUGCACCAACUGCUGAGAUAUUGCAGCAAGAGGAGUCCUCCAAAACCAGCAAAU
This 568-nucleotide unclassified non-coding RNA is filed under the name Hevea brasiliensis (rubber tree). Lineage: Eukaryota; Viridiplantae; Streptophyta; Magnoliopsida; Malpighiales; Euphorbiaceae. The record is from RNAcentral.